CUGUUGUUUUAUUUGUUCUUGUAUGACUGAAUACCUACAGCCCUGUUGUUAAAAUUAUUGCAGUUUUACGUUAAAAAAUACCCUAAAGGAUUGAUUGUAAACAUCGCUUGACGUGUUUCUACAAACGGUAAUGGAACUUUUGGCCAUUUCGUCUACGGAUUUGCGUCCACGCCACAUGGCAUUGUAAAGUGUUCUGGAUGGGUCAACAAAACGGAUGUAUUUGGAAAUAAUUUAUGGGCUUUGCAGAACAAAUGAACAUUUCUUGUGGAAGUGGGAGCCCAUCCGAGUGCAUUCUGCCGAAGAUCAGCAAAGAACCAAAAUGGGUACUGAACCGUCAAAUGCCAUGGCGGAGAUCUCUCACCUUUACCUUGUCGCUGACGUAGCCUCGGCCACAGCCACACAACACAGCUAAUCAACCUUACCGUUUACCGGACACCGGCUUCCCAAACCCACUGCAGUCACUCGCUCCACUAAAGUCUCGCUGCAUGGAGAGAACAAAUCAAAAAGGUGAGGCAUGGGCUUCUGGGAGUGUCCGUCCCCAGACAUGCAGCCAGGGUCAAGGGACAUUCUAGUUGUCAUCCCGGAUGUCCUGACAUCACAGCCCUGGAAGAACAAACCACACUACUGCUGGUGAGGGUAAAGACAGGAGGAGACAGGAGGUUAAGAAGACACCCAGACGGAGAGAUACUGUGCUCCUCUUUCUGCACGGUCGCUUCCUGUUCCGCUGUGUUCUACAGAGUUCUACAGUCUCUCUCUUUAUUUCUAUCUUUCUCUCUCUUUAUUUCUAUCUUUCUAUCUUUCUCUCUCUUUAUUUCUAUCUCUCUCUCUGACACA
Molecule: long non-coding RNA, 834 nt
Filed under: Salmo salar (Atlantic salmon)
Lineage: Eukaryota; Metazoa; Chordata; Actinopteri; Salmoniformes; Salmonidae
Description: lncRNA (ENSSSAG00000083715.1)
Source: RNAcentral